UCUCUUUUCUUCUUUAUCAGCAGCAUUGUCACUAACCUUCUACUUUUGCUUGAAAACUUCUUUUUGUUUCCUCCAGGAAAUGAAGUCCUAGCUCAUCUUACAGUCUUUUCCUGCCUUCAGAAGCCUUGUUCCAAUUCUAAAAGAAAGUAAUCAUUAUGGUUAGCCUGUUAAUGCAACAACAUGCUGAAAUAUGGUUUCUUAUGAAGGACACUAACCUAGACAAAGUAUACAGCACCAUUUAUGAACUGCACAGUUUAGAAAAUUUAGAAAAAGCAAGUUCAAUAUCGAUCUGAGAUCAACAUAUGAUUGAAGUCUUAACUUGACUGUGACACUAUAACAUUACAAGUUCGUUUGCAUGAAUC
RNAcentral lists this long non-coding RNA (362 nucleotides) under Elaeis guineensis (African oil palm). Its description in RNAcentral is "long non-coding RNA (EGUI_LNC045554)". Lineage: Eukaryota; Viridiplantae; Streptophyta; Magnoliopsida; Arecales; Arecaceae. The record is from RNAcentral.